This is a long non-coding RNA of Pseudopipra pipra, 599 nucleotides long. RefSeq lists it as uncharacterized. NCBI's taxonomy places the organism in Eukaryota, Metazoa, Chordata, Aves, Passeriformes, Pipridae. The transcript has 4 exons. The record is from RefSeq and is a predicted model, not a curated record.
UGCCCUGGGCUGGGAGCAGCCAAAGGCAAGAGGCUGCAGCCCCGCCGGCCGGGCUGGGGGCUCCUGGUGCUGCCCGUGGGGUGGGAUGCUGGAAUUGCCUCUCUGGCUGUGUGCUGAGCUCUGGCUGCAGGGGACUGUCAGGCCUUGGUGGCUCUGUUCCCUGAUGUCCAUUCCCUGGCCUGAAUUCCUUGCAGCUCCCAGCUGGGGAAACCUGGGAGAACAUGGCAGGGACAGAGGUGACAUCUGUAGCUGCCAACUUGGGGUAAUUUCGAGGGGACCCAGCAACUGUUUGUGUAGGAAAAGCCCGCAAUUCCAGGCCGAAUUCCUGCUGCAAUAGCCUCCCAGUGCCUCCUGGAGCCUGGAUCUUCCCCCGCAGAGCUGCUCCUCUAACGCCAGGUUUGCCAGGAAGCAGCCCCGGUUCCAGGUUUGCUCAGCGGGAUCGGGACAAGAACAGGUUGAUAUUCCACAGACCUUGCUGUUUAUAACCCUCCUCCCCCGGCCCCGCUGGUGUCCCUGGGGGGACUUGAGCGAGUUCCCUGGAAUUGGGCCGGUUUUCCGCCCCGGGCCGGGCUCCAGGGGAUGUGAUGGCCCAGGAGAAG